Molecule: small nuclear RNA, 106 nt
Filed under: Notamacropus eugenii (tammar wallaby)
Lineage: Eukaryota; Metazoa; Chordata; Mammalia; Diprotodontia; Macropodidae
Source: RNAcentral
AUACUCAAGUCAGUGGUACACAUACUAAAAUCAGAAAGAUACAGAGAAGAUUAGCAUAAUCCCUGAACCAGGAUGACAUGCAAAUCAUGAGGUGUUCCAUAUUUUA